UCCUGAGAGAUGUCUACACAGCUUACUCUAGACUGCCUGGCCAAGACAAAGUGUAUGUGCAGGACAUCCUGCAGAGGCAGCUGGAGGCCCGCGUGUGCGAGGUGCUGCAGGUGCAGCAGGGCCACAUCUACGUGUGCGGGGACGUGCGCAUGGCGCGGGACGUGGCGCGGGCGCUGCAGGCGCUGCUCGCCCGGGCCCUGCGCCUCAGCCAGCAGCAGGCAAACGAGUACUUCCAGCAGCUCAAGAGCCAAAAGCGAUACCAUGAAGAUAUAUUUGGGGCUGUGUUCCCACAUGAAGUCAAAAGAGCUUUGCAACCCAGCAGCUGAAUACCAAAUCCACUUGUGUUUUAGACAACAUUUGCACAUUUGUUGUUAUUUUCAAAAAACAAAGAGUCAAAUCCUCCUUCUUAUACUUGUUCAAUCAUGAAUGUGUAUAGGAUUGUAGGAUUUCACUCUUAAACCUCAGUCUUAAUUAAGUAAAAUAUUAAAUUUAACUUCCGUUGCUAUUUAUUCUGACAUGCUUUUAAUACAUUAUCUGAAUAGUGAAGGUGCAAAUUAUUUUUUAAUACCAUCUAUGCUAGUAUAAAUCUGGUGGUUUUUGUACAUACAAGGAAAAUGUAGAGUUUUGUACUAAGUUAACUAGGGCUGAAAUCUUUUUUUAAAAUGUACUGUUAAUCUUUGUGGCCUUAUUUAUAUCAGAUUGGUUUACUUGCAUAUUAUCUUCACUUGAAAGCAAGUGAAUGGAUGGUUAUGUUGCUGGGAGCUGUCUGGCCAGGUGCUUGGAUCUGGAGCAAUGUUUGCAAAUGGGAUAAUAAUGUACUGGUCCCCAAGUGGCAACACCUGCUGCAUCCACCUCAGAUGUAUCUGCUCAGCAGGUAGCAGUGGUGAAUUCUGCUUUGUGGGACUCAGGUACAUGAACCUCAGCUGUUGUUACAGAGCUUGUAGCAGGAAGGUUCUAAAAAUUCAAAAGCACUUUGUACAUUUGAAUUCUAUGCUCCGGUUUACUUGAUUUGUUUGUAAUAAAAUCUGCCUUUAUACUGAGACA
RNAcentral lists this long non-coding RNA (1044 nucleotides) under Cyanistes caeruleus (blue tit). RNAcentral describes it as "lncRNA (ENSCCEG00000021185.1)". The record is from RNAcentral. Lineage: Eukaryota; Metazoa; Chordata; Aves; Passeriformes; Paridae.